This 493-nucleotide ribosomal RNA is filed under the name uncultured Actinomycetes bacterium. RNAcentral's name for it is "bacterial SSU rRNA". It matches the Rfam family "Bacterial small subunit ribosomal RNA", at positions 355 to 839 of the family's 1533-position model. The record is from RNAcentral. Lineage: Bacteria; Bacillati; Actinomycetota; Actinomycetes.
UGGGGAAUCUUGCGCAAUGCACGACAGUGUGACGCAGCAACGCCGCGUGGGGGAAGAAGGCUUUCGGGUCGUAAACCCCUUUCAGGAGGGACGAAGCUUCGGCAGCGAAUAGCUGUCCGGAGUGACGGUACUUCCAUAAGAAGCCCCGGCUAACUACGUGCCAGCAGCCGCGGUAAUACGUAGGGGGCAAGCGUUGUCCGGAAUCAUUGGGCGUAAAGAGCGCGUAGGCGGCCAGAUAAGUCCGGUGUGAAAGUCACAGGCUCAACCUGUGAAUGCCGCUGGAAACUGUCUGGCUAGAGUCCGGUAGGGGCGAGUGGAAUUCCUGGUGUAGCGGUGAAAUGCGCAGAUAUCAGGAGGAACACCAAUGGCGAAGGCAGCUCGCUGGAACGGUACUGACGCUGAGGCGCGAAAGCGUGGGGAGCGAACAGGAUUAGAUACCCUGGUAGUCCACGCCGUAAACGAUGGGUACUAGGUGUAGGAGGUGUCGACUCCU